RNAcentral lists this ribosomal RNA (494 nucleotides) under uncultured Sphingobacteriales bacterium. Its description in RNAcentral is "bacterial SSU rRNA". It matches the Rfam family "Bacterial small subunit ribosomal RNA", at positions 888 to 1382 of the family's 1533-position model. Lineage: Bacteria; Pseudomonadati; Bacteroidota; Sphingobacteriia; Sphingobacteriales. The record is from RNAcentral.
CCCGCUCAGAAACUCAAAGGAAUUGACGGGGGCCCGCACAAGCGGAGGAGCAUGUGGUUUAAUUCGAUGAUACGCGAGGAACCUUACCUGGGCUCGAACGUAAGAUGACUGUAGGUGAAAGCUUACAUCUCUUCGGAGCAUUUUACGAGGUGCUGCAUGGUUGUCGUCAGCUCGUGCCGUGAGGUGUCGGGUUAAGUCCCAUAACGAGCGCAACCCCUACCUUUAGUUGCCAUCAGGUAAUGCUGGGGACUCUAAAGGAACUGCCUACGCAAGUAGUGAGGAAGGCGGGGAUGACGUCAAAUCAGCACGGCCCUUACGUCCAGGGCUACACACGUGCUACAAUGGCCGAUACAGAGGGCAGCUACCUGGUGACAGGAUGCAAAUCUCCAAAGUCGGUCUCAGUUCGGAUCGGAGUCUGCAACCCGACUCCGUGAAGUUGGAUUCGCUAGUAAUCGCGCAUCAGCCAUGGCGCGGUGAAUACGUUCCCGGGCCUU